RNAcentral lists this ribosomal RNA (305 nucleotides) under uncultured bacterium. Its description in RNAcentral is "bacterial SSU rRNA". It matches the Rfam family "Bacterial small subunit ribosomal RNA", at positions 343 to 646 of the family's 1533-position model. The record is from RNAcentral.
GGGGGGCAGCAGUGAGGAAUAUUGGUCAAUGGUCGGGAGACUGAACCAGCCAAGCCGCGUGAGGGAUGAAGGUACAGAGUAUCGUAAACCUCUUUUGUCAGGGAACAAAGGCGGGGACGUGUCCCCGGAUGAGUGUACCUGAAGAAAAAGCAUCGGCUAACUCCGUGCCAGCAGCCGCGGUAAUACGGAGGAUGCGAGCGUUAUCCGGAUUUAUUGGGUUUAAAGGGGGCGUAGGCGGGGCCUUAAGUCAGCGGGAAAAUUGCGGGGGUCAACGCCGUAGAGCCGUUUAAACUGGGGGUCUUGGG